RNAcentral lists this ribosomal RNA (497 nucleotides) under uncultured bacterium. RNAcentral's name for it is "partial 16S ribosomal RNA". It matches the Rfam family "Bacterial small subunit ribosomal RNA", at positions 28 to 507 of the family's 1533-position model. The record is from RNAcentral.
GACGAACGCUGGCGGCGUGCCUAAUACAUGCAAGUAGAACGCUGAAGAGAGGAGCUUACUCUUCUUGGAUGAGUUGCGAACGGGUGGGUAACGCGUAGGUAACCUGCCUUGUAGCGGGGGAUAACUAUUGGAAACGAUAGCUAAUACCGCAUAACAAUGGAUGACACAUGUCAUUUAUUUGAAAGGGGCAAUUGCUCCACUACAAGAUGGACCUGCGUUGUAUUAGCUAGUAGGUGAGGUAAUGGCUCACCUAGGCGACGAUACAUAGCCGACCUGAGAGGGUGAUCGGCCACACUGGGACUGAGACACGGCCCAGACUCCUACGGGAGGCAGCAGUAGGGAAUCUUCGGCAAUGGGGGCAACCCUGACCGAGCAACGCCGCGUGAGUGAAGAAGGUUUUCGGAUCGUAAAGCUCUGUUGUAAGUCAAGAACGGGUGUGAGAGUGGAAAGUUCACACUGUGACGGUAGCUUACCAGAAAGAGACGGCUAACUACGUG